ACUAAGCCAUGCGAGUUUUUGUAGUAAUACAAGGCAUACGGCUCAGUAACACGUAGUCAACCUACCCUAUGGACGAGGAUAAUCUCGGGAAACUGAGCAUAAUACUCGAUAGAUCAUAAUGCCUGGAAUGGUUUAUGGUUGAAAUGAUUCGUUCGCCAUAGGAUGGGACUGCGGCCUAUCAGCUUGUUGGUGAGGUAAUGGCCCACCAAGGCGAUUACAGGUACGGGCUCUGAGAGGAGAAGCCCGGAGAUGGGUACUGAGAUACGGACCCAGGCCCUAUGGGGCGCAGCAGGCGAGAAAACUUUGCAAUGUGCGAAAGCACGACAAGGUUAGUCCGAGUGAUUUCUGCUAAAGAAAUCUUUUGCAAGUUCUAAAACCACUUGUGAAUAAGGGGUGGGCAAGUUCUGGUGUCAGCCGCCGCGGUAAAACCAGCACCUCGAGUGGUCAGGAGGAUUAUUGGGCCUAAAGCAUCCGUAGCCGGCUCUGUAAGUUUUCGGUUAAAUCCAUGCGCUCAACGCAUGGGCUGUCGGAAAUACUGCAGAGCUAGGGAGUGGGAGAGGUAGACGGUACUCAGUAGGAAGGGGUAAAAUCCUUUGAUCUAUUGAUGACCACCUGUGGCGAAGGCGGUCUACCAGAACACGUUCGACGGUGAGGGAUGAAAGCUGGGGGAGCAAACCGGAUUAGAUACCCGGGUAGUCCCAGCUGUAAACGAUGCAGACUCGAUGAUGCAUUGGCAUAUAGCCAGUGCAGUGUCGCAGGGAAGCCGUUAAGUCUGCCGCCUGGGAAGUACGUACGCAAGUAUGAAACUUAAAGGAAUUGGCGGGGGAGCACCAC
Molecule: ribosomal RNA, 834 nt
Filed under: uncultured archaeon
Lineage: Archaea
Description: bacterial SSU rRNA
Rfam family: Archaeal small subunit ribosomal RNA
Source: RNAcentral